GAUGAACGCUGGCGGCGCGCCUAACACAUGCAAGUCGAACGAGCGAGAGAGAGCUUGCUUUCUCGAGCGAGUGGCGAACGGGUGAGUAACGCGUGAGGAACCUGCCUCAAAGAGGGGGACAACAGUUGGAAACGACUGCUAAUACCGCAUAAGCCCACAGGUCGGCAUCGACCAGAGGGAAAAGGAGCAAUCCGCUUUGAGAUGGCCUCGCGUCCGAUUAGCUAGUUGGUGAGGUAACGGCCCACCAAGGCGACGAUCGGUAGCCGGACUGAGAGGUUGAACGGCCACAUUGGGACUGAGACACGGCCCAG
Molecule: ribosomal RNA, 311 nt
Filed under: uncultured bacterium
Lineage: Bacteria
Description: bacterial SSU rRNA
Rfam family: Bacterial small subunit ribosomal RNA
Source: RNAcentral